This 263-nucleotide unclassified non-coding RNA is filed under the name Hevea brasiliensis (rubber tree). The record is from RNAcentral. Lineage: Eukaryota; Viridiplantae; Streptophyta; Magnoliopsida; Malpighiales; Euphorbiaceae.
CUUGUCCAUCUUAGGGAAGAAAGUUGGUAGGAUUGCUGCACUCUUAAAGCCAGAAGAGGCAAUAGAGCAAUUGGACAUAAGAACAAUUGCUGCAUCACCUCUAGAGUAUGAUGUGAAGCGGGAGGAUGUGGAAUCAUUUUUAGGAAAAUAUGUCAAGGUGUCAAGUGUGAGGAUGCCUCGUCACGUGGCAGACAAAAGGGUAUUUUGUGGCACUGCAUUGGUUGAGUUCUCAAUAGAGGAAGAUGCUGAAAAUGUUUUGAAGC